AUGAACGCUGGCGGCGUGCUUAACACAUGCAAGUCGAACGGAAAGGCUCCUGCUUGCAGGGGUACUCGAGUGGCGAACGGGUGAGUAACACGUGGGUGAUCUGCCCUGCACUUCGGGAUAAGCCUGGGAAACUGGGUCUAAUACCGGAUAGGACCACAUUUUGGAUGGUGUGGUGGAAAGUUUUUCGGUGUGGGAUGAGCUCGCGGCCUAUCAGCUUGUUGGUGGGGUAAUGGCCUACCAAGGCGUUGACGGGUAGCCGGCCUGAGAGGGUGUACGGCCACAUUGGGACUGAGAUACGGCCCAGACUCCUACGGGAGGCAGCAGUGGGGAAUAUUGCACAAUGGGCGCAAGCCUGAUGCAGCGACGCCGCGUGGGGGAUGACGGCCUUCGGGUUGUAAACUCCUUUCGCUAGGGACGAAGCGCAAGUGACGGUACCUGGAGAAGAAGCACCGGCUAACUACGUG
This 464-nucleotide ribosomal RNA is filed under the name uncultured bacterium. RNAcentral's name for it is "partial 16S ribosomal RNA". It matches the Rfam family "Bacterial small subunit ribosomal RNA", at positions 29 to 507 of the family's 1533-position model. The record is from RNAcentral.